Molecule: ribosomal RNA, 843 nt
Filed under: uncultured phototrophic eukaryote
Lineage: Eukaryota
Description: bacterial SSU rRNA
Rfam family: Bacterial small subunit ribosomal RNA
Source: RNAcentral
GAUGAACGCUGGCGGUAUGCUUAACACAUGCAAGUCGAACGAGAGUUUUUAACUCUAGUGGCGAACGGGUGCGUAAUACGUGAGAAUCUGCCCUUAGGAGAAGAAUAACUACUGGAAACGGUAGCUAAGUCUUCAUAUGCCGAGAGGUGAAAUAGUUUCAACUGCCUAAGGAUGAGCUCACGCCUGAUUAGCUUGUUGGUGAGGUAACGGCUUACCAAGGCCACGAUCAGUAGCUGGUUUGAGAGAACGAUCAGCCACACUGGGACUGAGACACGGCCCAGACUCCUCCGGGAGGCAGCAGUGAGGAAUUUUCCGCAAUGGGCGAAAGCCUGACGGAGCAAUACCGCGUGAGGGAUGAAGGAUUUUGGUCUGUAAACCUCUUUUCUCAAAAAAGAAGUUCUGACGGUACUUGAGGAAUAAGCAUCGGCUAACUCCGUGCCAGCAGCCGCGGUAAUACGGGGGAUGCAAGCGUUAUCCGGAAUCAUUGGGCGUAAAGCGCCUGUAGGUUGUUUAGUAAGUCUGUUGUUAAAGACCAGGGCUUAACCCUGGGAAAGCAAUGGAAACUACUAGACUUGAGUAUGGCAGGGGUAGAGGGAAUUUCUAGUGUAGCGGUGAAAUGCGUAGAUAUUAGAAAGAACACCGGCGGCGAAAGCGCUCUACUGGACCAUUACUGACACUCAGAGGCGAAAGCUAGGGGAGCAAAAGGGAUUAGAUACCCCUGUAGUCCUAGCCGUAAACGAUGGAUACUAGAUGUUGCGCAAUUUGUGCAGUAUCUUAGCUAACGCGUUAAGUAUCCCGCCUGGGGAGUACGCUCGCAAGGGUGAAACUCAAAGGAAUUGACGG